GGUACAACUACCAAAGCUGGGCCUGGAAUAUCAGACACUGCCCUGGCUCACAUGCUCAGAUCUCUCUCACCGAUGUGUGUGCCGGAAGAUGAUGGUGAAUGGGACUCUGGUUGGGAUCACAUGUCCACCCCUGGGACUUCUACAUGUGUUGACUCUUCCCCUGGACAUUUUAAGGCUUUUUUAGGCUAUUUUGCCAGAAAAAAAGGAUGCAGUGGAGCAUAGCAUACUUAGAAAAAAUAAAUAAACUCAAGCAUCUUGUGCUUAUAAUACUUCUUAUAAAAUCCAAUGAGACAAA
Molecule: long non-coding RNA, 295 nt
Organism: Coregonus clupeaformis (lake whitefish)
Lineage: Eukaryota; Metazoa; Chordata; Actinopteri; Salmoniformes; Salmonidae
Exons: 3
Source: RefSeq, a predicted model, not a curated record